RNAcentral lists this ribosomal RNA (253 nucleotides) under uncultured bacterium. RNAcentral's name for it is "partial 16S ribosomal RNA". It matches the Rfam family "Bacterial small subunit ribosomal RNA", at positions 524 to 776 of the family's 1533-position model. The record is from RNAcentral.
UACGUAGGGUGCAAGCGUUGCCCGGAAUUAUUGGGCGUAAAGAGCUCGUAGGCGGUUUGUCGCGUCUGCUGUGAAAACGCGAGGCUCAACCUCGCGCCUGCAGUGGGUACGGGCAGACUAGAGUGCGGUAGGGGAGAUUGGAAUUCCUGGUGUAGCGGUGGAAUGCGCAGAUAUCAGGAGGAACACCGAUGGCGAAGGCAGAUCUCUGGGCCGUAACUGACGCUGAGGAGCGAAAGCGUGGGGAGCGAACAGG